Molecule: ribosomal RNA, 1493 nt
Filed under: Pseudomonas lini
Lineage: Bacteria; Pseudomonadati; Pseudomonadota; Gammaproteobacteria; Pseudomonadales; Pseudomonadaceae
Description: bacterial SSU rRNA
Rfam family: Bacterial small subunit ribosomal RNA
Source: RNAcentral
UGUUCGGCUAGAGUGUUCUGCAGUCGAGCGGUAGAGAGAAGCUUGCUUCUCUUGAGAGCGGCGGACGGGUGAGUAAUGCCUAGGAAUCUGCCUGGUAGUGGGGGAUAACGCUCGGAAACGGACGCUAAUACCGCAUACGUCCUACGGGAGAAAGCAGGGGACCUUCGGGCCUUGCGCUAUCAGAUGAGCCUAGGUCGGAUUAGCUAGUUGGUGAGGUAAUGGCUCACCAAGGCGACGAUCCGUAACUGGUCUGAGAGGAUGAUCAGUCACACUGGAACUGAGACACGGUUCCAAGACUUCCUACGGGAGGCAGGCAGUGGCGAAUAUUGGACAAUGAGCGAAAGCCUGAUUCCAGGCCAUGCCGCGUGUGUGAAGAAGGUCUUUCGGAUUUGUAAAGGCACUUUAAGUUGGGAGGAAGGGCUAGUUACCUUAAUACGUAUUCUAUUUUUGACGUUACCGACAGAAUAAGCACCCGGCUAACUCUGUGCCAGCAGCCGCGGUAAUACAGAGGGUGCAAGCGUUAAUCGGAAUUACUGGGCGUAAAGCGCGCGUAGGUGGUUUGUUAAGUUGGAUGUGAAAUCCCCGGGCUCAACCUGGGAACUGCAUUCAAAACUGACAAGCUAGAGUAUGGUAGAGGGUGGUGGAAUUUCCUGUGUAGCGGUGAAAUGCGUAGAUAUAGGAAGGAACACCAGUGGCGAAGGCGACCACCUGGACUGAUACUGACACUGAGGUGCGAAAGCGUGGGGAGCAAACAGGAUUAGAUACCCUGGUAGUCCACGCCGUAAACGAUGUCAACUAGCCGUUGGGAGCCUUGAGCUCUUAGUGGCGCACCUAACGCAUUAACUUGACCGCCUGGGGAGUACAGCCGCAACGUUAAAACUCAAAUGAAUUGACGGGGGCCCGCACAAACGGCGGAGCAUGUGCGUUUAAUUUCGAAGCAACGCGAAAAAACCUUACCACGCCCUGACAUUCCAAUGAACUUUGCACAGAAAUGAAAUGGUGCCGUUCGGGAACAUUGGAGACAGGUGCUGCAUGGACUGUCGUCAACUCGUGUCGUCAGAUCUCUCGCUGGAAUAAAGUCCCGUAACAAGCAGCAACCAUUCGUUCCUUACCUACCAUGCACGUACAUGGUAGGCUACUUCUGCAAGGUAAACUGAAGGAUGCACAAACGCGUGAGUGAACGGAUCGAGAAUAGAAGAUCGAGAGUCACUGCAUCGGCCCUUACGGCCUGGGCUACACACGUGCUACAAUGGUCGGUACAGAGGGUUGCCAAGCCGCGAGGUGGAGCUAAUCCCAGAAAACCGAUCGUAGUCCGGAUCGCAGUCUGCAACUCGACUGCGUGAAGUCGGAAUCGCUAGUAAUCGCGAAUCAGAAUGUCGCGGUGAAUACGUUCCCGGGCCUUGUACACACCGCCCGUCACACCAUGGGAGUGGGUUGCACCAGAAGUAGCUAGUCUAACCUUCGGGAGGACGGUACACGGGAUGAUAUCCGCC